This is a long non-coding RNA of Drosophila pseudoobscura, 167 nucleotides long. RefSeq lists it as uncharacterized. The transcript has 2 exons. Lineage: Eukaryota; Metazoa; Arthropoda; Insecta; Diptera; Drosophilidae. The record is from RefSeq and is a predicted model, not a curated record.
GCUGGCUGAGAAUUUCCAUUUAAAGUGGAGUGGACCUGCAGAGUUCUGAGUAAUAACCAUCUUUCUUUGUACAAGGAUUUGCCGAUCGUAGCACCAGGACGAAGUUGCGUUCCACACAUUGCUGCACCUGCUAAAUAUGUAAAGCAGAAUUAAAAACCAAGGCACAA